RNAcentral lists this long non-coding RNA (2171 nucleotides) under Sorghum bicolor (sorghum). RNAcentral's name for it is "long non-coding RNA (SBIC_LNC016879)". Lineage: Eukaryota; Viridiplantae; Streptophyta; Magnoliopsida; Poales; Poaceae. The record is from RNAcentral.
CUGAGCCUGCUGGUCUUCAAAGUCUUGGUCUUGCUCACCAACGUUCGACUCACCGUCUAUUCCCAAACAUCAACCAACAACACGCAAUCCAAUGGAGACAAUCAUACACAAAGCAAACAAGAUGUAAUUAGAACAAUACACCAAACAGUGGUAAAUAAAAGAUAAAAGUUUAUAAAAAUGUUCUACGCAGCGCUAUGAUCAUACAAACGUAAAGUUCACGAAAAUCGAAAUUAAAACGUAGAAGAUAUGAAUUUUCUAAGAUUUCCUAUAGAGAAAUAAUUAAUUUAAUAGGAUCACGAAAUUAAAAAGUUUCAAACUGGGAAAAUAAAGUUACUAACAUGUAGAGCUAUUAAUUACGAAUCUAACGAAAUUUGAAUGGACAAAAACGGAGUUAAAACGAAUAUUUUAUGAGCAAAACAAUUUCAGUGGCAAACUUGUAAUUACUGGAAAGCGUAAUUUGCUUCAAACCGACGAAAAUACGUUUUCCAAACUGAAAAGCGUAGAGCUGAAAUUAUGCCAUGCACUGCGGGUUGAUUCCUGGAAAAGUCCAGGGACUCUUUAGCAAAACAGCCGAAGAGGUACGUUCUAAUCUCCACUGUUGAUUCAAGAUCGGACGGUUGAGAUGGAUUCCAGGGAGCCCGCGGUCGCCGGGGGCGUUCUCUACGGCGGCGCGCCAUGGCUGGGGGCUCUGAGCUUGCCGGAGUUCAUCGAUAACGCGAUUCUGAGCACGGUUUGAGGAACUAAAAGCAUGGGAGGCAAGCGGAGGGAAAGGCGAACUCACCCAGGGGGUUGGAGAAGACUCGGUGAAGGUGCUCGACGCGAGGUGGCGAUCGGCGGCCCCCUGCACACGUUCGGCGUGAAUAAAACUCCGUGAAAACUAGUAGAGAGCAAGGAGAAGGGGUCGGGGCUUCGUUGGCACGGCCACUGCUCGGAAACGCUGGCACAACUGUGGGUCGCGAGCACCACGGCAGCGGGCGUAGCUUGCGGCUCAGCAAGAUCUAGACGGCGGCGGGGUGGCUAGGGCAUAAUUUCUAAACACGUAGGGGAGGAAGAGAAGCCGCAGAAUAUGCCCAGAGGCUUUAUAGGGGUCGGAUUGGGGCUUGGUUUGGAAGUUCCCGUGAAAGCUGGGAUUCGGUGGCCGGCUCCUGAACAGAGUCCAAGCUGCUCGCGAGUUGGGGAAGAAGAAAGGAGAUCGUGACACUGACGCGCGGGCCCAGAGUGGCAGUGAGAGGAACAGCGGGGUCGGCUGUCAGGGAAAGAAGGGAAAGGUGGCGCGGGCUGGCUUCUGCCACUGAGCCUCGAGUUGGGCCGCGGAGGGGGAAAAGAGGAGUGGCGCGCUUGGGCCGGGAAGGAAAGAAAGGGGGAAGGAGGAGAGUUUAGGCCUUCGGGUCAGAAAGAGGGGUGAGUUUUCUUCUUUUCUUUUCUUUUCUUUUCUUUUCUUUUCUUUUUAUUUCAAAGUCCUUUUUAAAACAGUUUAGAAAUCAAUUUAAAAAUAUUUUGACUUUGCUCAAAUUCACACAGUACAACGAAAAUAAAUGCUCCAAUAUGAAUGCACAACAAGUUACUAAGUCCUAUAAUAAAUUUUUAUUUAAAUGAAAAUAUUAUUUUCCUAUGUUUCAUGAGCACACAAAUCCAAAAUUAAAUCAUUUUCACCUAUUUCAAAAAGGAGUAAAUUUUAGGGUAUUACAAUUAUUAUAGCAUUUUCGAUUGUAUUUGAAAAUUAUUGUUCAAUCAAGGACUAACUAGACUCAAAAGAUUCGUCUCAAAAAUUACAGGUAAACUGUGUAAUUGGUUUUUGCUUUCGUCUAUAUUUAAUACUUCAUGUAUUAAAGAUUCGACGUAAUAUGAAAUUUUGAAAAGUUUUUUGAUUUUGGGAUCAACUAAACAAGGGCUUACAUGCACAAUGCGUGGCCUAAAGAACGUGUUAUAUUUUGGUCGGUCCAUGGAUGGCCACCGGGCACGGCACAGUUCUGCCUUUGUUAUUUGUUGAGCUAGUAUUAAUUAAUUAUUUCUGAAGAAGAAUAUUAAUAUUUGCAUAUAGCACAAACUAGGCAUAAUAUGAAAAUUUGUCCGGUGACAAAUCUGAAAACAUUUAUACUUAAUAAUAGUAUAAAUUUGAUUGAUUAGAUUUACAACAGUUUGACUCGAUAUAAUUAUUAUGGUUUCUCUGA